AGUGAACGCUGGCGGUAGGCCUAACACAUGCAAGUCGAACGGCAGCACGGUAAGAGCUUGCUCUUAUGGGUGGCGAGUGGCGGACGGGUGAGGAAUACAUCGGAAUCUACCUUUUGGUGGGGGAUAACGUAGGGAAACUUACGCUAAUACCGCAUACGCCCUUCGGGGGAAAGCCGGGGACCAGCAAUGGCCUGGUGCUGAUAGAUGAGCCGAUGUCGGAUUAGCUAGUUGGUGAGGUAAUGGCUCACCAAGGCGACGAUCCGUAGCUGGUCUGAGAGGAUGAUCAGCCACACUGGAACUGAGACACGGUCCAGACUCCUACGGGAGGCAGCAGUGGGGAAUAUUGGACAAUGGGCGCAAGCCUGAUCCAGCCAUACCGCGUGGGUGAAGAAGGCCUUCGGGUUGUAAAGCCCUUUUGUUGGGAAAGAAAAGCAUUCGGUUAAUACCCGGGUGUUCUGACGGUACCCAAAGAAUAAGCACCGGCUAACUUCGUGCCAGCAGCCGCGGUAAUACGAAGGGUGCAAGCGUUACUCGGAAUUACUGGGCGUAAAGCGUGCGUAGGUGGUGGUUUAAGUCCGUUGUGAAAGCCCUGGGCUCAACCUGGGAAUUGCAGUGGAUACUGGAUCACUAGAGUGUGGUAGAGGAUAGUGGAAUUUCCGGUGUAGCAGUGAAAUGCGUAGAGAUCGGAAGGAACAUCUGUGGCGAAYGCGACUAUCUGGACCAACACUGACACUGA
RNAcentral lists this ribosomal RNA (736 nucleotides) under uncultured Lysobacterales bacterium. Its description in RNAcentral is "bacterial SSU rRNA". It matches the Rfam family "Bacterial small subunit ribosomal RNA", at positions 28 to 749 of the family's 1533-position model. The record is from RNAcentral. Lineage: Bacteria; Pseudomonadati; Pseudomonadota; Gammaproteobacteria; Lysobacterales.